AGAGUUUGAUUAUGGCUCAGGACGAACGCUGGCGGCGUGCUUAACACAUGCAAGUCGAACGGAGCACCUUCGAAAGAGACUUCGGUCAAUGGAAAAGAAUGCUUAGUGGCGGACGGGUGAGUAACGCGUGAGGAACCUGCCUUUCAGUGGGGGACAACAGUUGGAAACGACUGCUAAUACCGCAUAACGUACGGGUAUCGCAUGGUAUCUGUACCAAAGAUUUAUCGCUGAGAGAUGGCCUCGCGUCUGAUUAGCUAGUUGGUAGGGUAACGGCCUACCAAGGCGACGAUCAGUAGCCGGACUGAGAGGUUGGCCGGCCACAUUGGGACUGAGAUACGGCCCAGACUCCUACGGGAGGCAGCAGUGGGGAAUAUUGGGCAAUGGGCGAAAGCCUGACCCAGCAACGCCGCGUGAAGGAAGAAGGCUUUCGGGUUGUAAACUUCUUUUGACAGGGAAGAGCAGAAGACGGUACCUGUCGAAUAAGCCACGGCUAACUACGUGCCAGCAGCCGCGGUAAUACGUAGGUGGCAAGCGUUGUCCGGAUUUACUGGGUGUAAAGGGCGUGUAGCCGGGCUGACAAGUCAAAUGUGAAAUCCGGGGGCUCAACCCCCGAACUGCAUUUG
Molecule: ribosomal RNA, 623 nt
Filed under: uncultured bacterium
Lineage: Bacteria
Description: bacterial SSU rRNA
Rfam family: Bacterial small subunit ribosomal RNA
Source: RNAcentral